This 114-nucleotide small RNA is filed under the name Arabidopsis thaliana (thale cress). RNAcentral describes it as "ATSL079270". Lineage: Eukaryota; Viridiplantae; Streptophyta; Magnoliopsida; Brassicales; Brassicaceae. The record is from RNAcentral.
AAUAUUGUAAAUAAAAAAAUUGGUGAUGAUAAAAUAAUAAAUAAGGAUUUAACUCGUGUUAUAUCAAUCAAAUCCGUCCCGCUAUACAACUCGUCUCAUGAUAGUUUUAAUAUU